RNAcentral lists this transfer RNA (82 nucleotides) under Amaricoccus sp. HAR-UPW-R2A-40. Its description in RNAcentral is "tRNA-Thr". The record is from RNAcentral. Lineage: Bacteria; Pseudomonadati; Pseudomonadota; Alphaproteobacteria; Rhodobacterales; Paracoccaceae.
GCAAGUAUAAUCAGCUACUUGGUGCGUGAGCACACCCUUGGUAAGGGUGAGGUCGAGAGUUCAAUCCUCUCUCACAGCACCA